UUGGUAUGCACUGGCUUUACUGAUUCCUCCUUCUUGACGAACCGUGAUGUCAUUAAUUUGGUGUUGCGGGAAAUCAGGACUGUUACUUUGAAAAAAUUAGAGUGUUUAAAGCAGGCUAACGCUUGAAUACAUUAGCAUGGAAUAAUGAAAUAGGACGUUAAUCCUAUUUUGUUGGUUUCUAGGAUCGACGUAAUGAUUAAUAGGGAUAGUUGGGGGCAUUAGUAUUCAAUUGUCAGAGGUGUAAUUCUUGGAUUUAUUGAAGACUAACUACUGCGAAAGCAUUUGCCAAGGAUGUUUUCAUUAAUCAAGAACGAAAGUUAGGGGAUCAAAAACGAUCAGAUACCGUCGUAGUCUUAACCAUAAACUAUGCCGACUAGGGAUCGGAUGAUGUUAAUUCUUUAAGG
Molecule: ribosomal RNA, 404 nt
Filed under: uncultured Glomeromycotina
Lineage: Eukaryota; Fungi; Glomeromycota
Description: SSU rRNA
Rfam family: Eukaryotic small subunit ribosomal RNA
Source: RNAcentral